Molecule: transfer RNA, 72 nt
Filed under: Snowella sp.
Lineage: Bacteria; Bacillati; Cyanobacteriota; Cyanophyceae; Synechococcales; Coelosphaeriaceae
Also listed under: 1 other name
Description: tRNA-Gly
Rfam family: tRNA
About the family: Transfer RNA (tRNA) molecules are approximately 80 nucleotides in length.
Source: RNAcentral
GCGGGUGUAGUUCAGUGGUAGAACGUCAUCUUCCCAUGGUGAAUGUCGUGAGUUCGAGUCUCAUCACCCGCU